Molecule: ribosomal RNA, 497 nt
Filed under: uncultured bacterium
Lineage: Bacteria
Description: partial 16S ribosomal RNA
Rfam family: Bacterial small subunit ribosomal RNA
Source: RNAcentral
GAUGAACGCUGGCGGCGUGCCUAAUACAUGCAAGUCGAGCGAACAGACGAGGAGCUUGCUCCUCUGACGUUAGCGGCGGACGGGUGAGUAACACGUGGAUAACCUACCUAUAAGACUGGGAUAACUUCGGGAAACCGGAGCUAAAACCGGAUAAUAUAUUGAACCGCAUGGUUCGAUAGUGAAAGACGGUUUUGCUGUCACUUAUAGAUGGAUCCGCGCCGCAUUAGCUAGUUGGUAAGGUAACGGCUUACCAAGGCAACGAUGCGUAGCCGACCUGAGAGGGUGAUCGGCCACACUGGAACUGAGACACGGUCCAGACUCCUACGGGAGGCAGCAGUAGGGAAUCUUCCGCAAUGGGCGAAAGCUUGACGGAGCAACGCCGCGUGAGUGAUGAAGGUCUUCGGAUCGUAAAACUCUGUUAUUAGGGAAGAACAAAUGUGUAAGUAACUAUGCACGUCUUGACGGUACCUAAUCAGAAAGCCACGGCUAACUACGUG